This 465-nucleotide ribosomal RNA is filed under the name uncultured bacterium. RNAcentral's name for it is "bacterial SSU rRNA". It matches the Rfam family "Bacterial small subunit ribosomal RNA", at positions 329 to 792 of the family's 1533-position model. The record is from RNAcentral.
UUCCAGACUCCUACGGGAGGCAGCAGUGAGGAAUAUUGGUCAAUGGGCGAGAGCCUGAACCAGCCAAGUCGCGUGAGGGAGUACUGCCCUAUGGGUUGUAAACCUCUUUUGUCGGGGAGCAAAAGCCGGACGUGUCCGGCUGUGAGAGUACCCGAAGAAAAAGCAUCGGCUAACUCCGUGCCAGCAGCCGCGGUAAUACGGAGGGUGCGAGCGUUAAUCGGAAUUACUGGGCGUAAAGCGCUCGUAGGCGGUAUGUCAAGUCAAGGGUGAAAUCCCCGCGCUCAACGUGGGAACUGCCUUUGAAACUGGCAAACUGGAGUGUGUGAGAGGAUAGUGGAAUUCCAGGUGUAGGAGUGAAAUCCGUAGAUAUCUGGAGGAACAUCAGUGGCGAAGGCGACUAUCUGGCACAUAACUGACGCUGAGGAGCGAAAGCGUGGGUAGCAAACAGGAUUAGAUACCCCAGUA